GAUGAACGCUAGCGGCAGGCUUAACACAUGCAAGUCGAGGGGUAUAGUAGCAAUACUAGAGACCGGCGCACGGGUGCGUAACGCGUAUGCAACCUACCUUUUACAGAGGGAUAGCCCAGAGAAAUUUGGAUUAAUACCUCAUAGUGUUAUUAGAUGGCAUCAUUUGAUAACUAAAGUUCCAACGGUAAAGAUGGGCAUGCGUCCUAUUAGCUAGAUGGUAAGGUAACGGCUUACCAUGGCUGCGAUAGGUAGGGUCCUGAGAGGGAGAUCCCCCANACUGGUACUGAGACACGGACCAGACUCCUACGGGAGGCA
This 315-nucleotide ribosomal RNA is filed under the name uncultured bacterium. RNAcentral's name for it is "bacterial SSU rRNA". It matches the Rfam family "Bacterial small subunit ribosomal RNA", at positions 28 to 350 of the family's 1533-position model. The record is from RNAcentral.